Molecule: small nuclear RNA, 131 nt
Filed under: Felis catus (domestic cat)
Lineage: Eukaryota; Metazoa; Chordata; Mammalia; Carnivora; Felidae
Description: U4 spliceosomal RNA
Rfam family: U4 spliceosomal RNA
About the family: U4 small nuclear RNA (U4 snRNA) is a component of the major U2-dependent spliceosome.
Source: Rfam by way of RNAcentral
AGCUUUGUGCAGUGGCAGUAUCAUAGCCAGUGAGGUUUAUCCAAGGUGCAGUUAUUGCUAAUUGGAAAAGAUAUCAUUUGUGUUUAGAUACAUGUUUGCAGAAAUAUACAAGAAGCCAUCUUUUAAAAAUG